CCUUUGUCCCGCUUUCACCGUUCAUGUCUACCGUUGACCGUUCGUCUAUUUGAAACAUUUUUAUGAUUAGUAUUUUUAUUGUUAUUAGAUGAUAAAACAUUGAUAGUCAUAUUUCAUAAGACGGAUAGUCAAACGUUGGACACGGAUACUCACAACUGCACUUACU
Molecule: microRNA precursor, 166 nt
Filed under: Oryza sativa Indica Group (long-grained rice)
Lineage: Eukaryota; Viridiplantae; Streptophyta; Magnoliopsida; Poales; Poaceae
Description: MIR812 microRNA precursor family
Rfam family: MIR812 microRNA precursor family
Source: Rfam by way of RNAcentral